UGCUUUGAGUAUUGAGAUGGAUAAAACGA
This 29-nucleotide non-coding RNA is filed under the name Mus musculus (house mouse). Lineage: Eukaryota; Metazoa; Chordata; Mammalia; Rodentia; Muridae. The record is from RNAcentral.